AACGAACGCUGGCGGCAGGCUUAACACAUGCAAGUCGAGCGCCCCGCAAGGGGAGCGGCAGACGGGUGAGUAACGCGUGGGAACGUACCCUUUACUACGGAAUAACUCAGGGAAACUUGUGCUAAUACCGUAUGUGCCCUUCGGGGGAAAGAUUUAUCGGUAAAGGAUCGGCCCGCGUUGGAUUAGCUAGUUGGUGGGGUAAAGGCCUACCAAGGUGACGAUCCAUAGCUGGUCUGAGAGGAUGAUCAGCCACAUUGGGACUGAGACACGGCCCAAACUCCUACGGGAGGCAGCAGUGGGGAAUAUUGGACAAUGGGCGCAAGCCUGAUCCAGCCAUGCCGCGUGUGUGAUGAAGGCCUUAGGGUUGUAAAGCACUUUCACCGGAGAAGAUAAUGACGGUAUCCGGAGAAGAAGCCCCGGCUAACUUCGCGCCAGCCGCCGCGGUAA
Molecule: ribosomal RNA, 447 nt
Filed under: uncultured bacterium
Lineage: Bacteria
Description: partial 16S ribosomal RNA
Rfam family: Bacterial small subunit ribosomal RNA
Source: RNAcentral